RNAcentral lists this transfer RNA (75 nucleotides) under Pyrodictium sp. RNAcentral describes it as "tRNA-His". It matches the Rfam family "tRNA". From Rfam's summary of the family: Transfer RNA (tRNA) molecules are approximately 80 nucleotides in length. Their secondary structure includes four short double-helical elements and three loops (D, anti-codon, and T loops). The record is from RNAcentral. Lineage: Archaea; Thermoproteati; Thermoproteota; Thermoprotei; Desulfurococcales; Pyrodictiaceae.
GCCGCCGUAGCUCAGCGGUAGAGCGCCGGGCUGUGGACCCGGAGGUCCCGGGUUCAAAUCCCGGCGGCGGCCCCA